Molecule: ribosomal RNA, 512 nt
Filed under: uncultured bacterium
Lineage: Bacteria
Description: bacterial SSU rRNA
Rfam family: Bacterial small subunit ribosomal RNA
Source: RNAcentral
UAGUCCACGCCGUAAACGAUGUCAACUAGCCGUUGGAGGGCAUGUCCCUUUAGUGGCGCAGCUAACGCGAUAAGUUGACCGCCUGGGGAGUACGGUCGCAAGAUUAAAACUCAAAGGAAUUGACGGGGGCCCGCACAAGCGGUGGAGCAUGUGGUUUAAUUCGAUGCAACGCGAAAAACCUUACCUACCCUUGACAUCCUUGGAACGGUCUAGAGAUAGACUGGUGCCUUCGGGAACCAAGUGACAGGUGGUGCAUGGCUGUCGUCGGCUCGUGUCGUGAGAUGUUGGGUUAAGUCCCGCAACGAGCGCAACCCUUGUUUUUAGUUGCCAUCAUUUAGUUGGGCACUUUAAAAAGGCUGCCGGUGACAAACCGGAGGAAGGUGAGGAUGACGUCAAGUCAGCAUGCCCCUUAUGUUCUGGGCUACACACGUGCUACAAUGGUUAGGACAAAGAGUCGCCAACUUGCAAAAGUGAGCUAAUCUCGUAAACCUAAUCUCAGUUCGGAUCGCAGG